CACGUAGGGGGCAAGCGUUGUCCGGAUUUAUUGGGCGUAAAGAGCUCGUAGGCGGCUUAGUAAGUCGGGUGUGAAACCUCCAGGCUCAACCUGGAGACGCCACCCGAUACUGCUGUGGCUAGAGUCCGGUAGGGGAGCGUGGAAUUCCUGGUGUAGCGGUGAAAUGCGCAGAUAUCAGGAGGAACACCAGCGGCGAAGGCGGCGCUCUGGGCCGGUACUGACGCUGAGACGCGAAAGCGUGGGGAGCGAACAGG
Molecule: ribosomal RNA, 254 nt
Filed under: uncultured bacterium
Lineage: Bacteria
Description: partial 16S ribosomal RNA
Rfam family: Bacterial small subunit ribosomal RNA
Source: RNAcentral